This 733-nucleotide ribosomal RNA is filed under the name uncultured bacterium. RNAcentral describes it as "bacterial SSU rRNA". It matches the Rfam family "Bacterial small subunit ribosomal RNA", at positions 67 to 794 of the family's 1533-position model. The record is from RNAcentral.
CGAGAGCAUGGAAGCUUGCUUCUAUAAUCUUAGUGGCGAACGGGUGAGUAACGCGUAAUCACCUGCCCUUCAGAGGGGGACAACAGUUGGAAACGACUGCUAAUACCGCAUACGUCGGCAUCGAGAAAGGUGGCCUUCAUGAAGCUAUCACUGAAGGAGGGGAUUGCGUCUGAUUAGCUAGUUGGAGGGGUAACGGCCCACCAAGGCGAUGAUCAGUAGCCGGUCUGAGAGGAUGAACGGCCACAUUGGGACUGAGACACGGCCCAGACUCCUACGGGAGGCAGCAGUGGGGAAUCUUCCGCAAUGGACGAAAGUCUGACGGAGCAACGCCGCGUGAGUGAUGACGGCCUUCGGGUUGUAAAGCUCUGUUAAUCGGGACGAAGGCCUUCUUGCGAAUAGUGAGAAGGAUUGACGGUACCGGAAUAGAAAGCCACGGCUAACUACGUGCCAGCAGCCGCGGUAAUACGUAGGUGGCAAGCGUUGUCCGGAAUUAUUGGGCGUAAAGCGCGCGCAGGCGGAUAGGUCAGUCUGUCUUAAAAGUUCGGGGCUUAACCCCGUGAUGGGAUGGAAACUGCCAAUCUAGAGUAUCGGAGAGGAAAGUGGAAUUCCUAGUGUAGCGGUGAAAUGCGUAGAUAUUAGGAAGAACACCAGUGGCGAAGGCGACUUUCUGGACGAAAACUGACGCUGAGGCGCGAAAGCCAGGGGAGCGAACGGGAUUAGAUACCCCGGUAGU